This 910-nucleotide long non-coding RNA is filed under the name Chelonoidis abingdonii (Abingdon island giant tortoise). RNAcentral describes it as "lncRNA (ENSCABG00000018008.1)". The record is from RNAcentral. Lineage: Eukaryota; Metazoa; Chordata; Testudines; Testudinidae.
UUUAACAAGGCCUCUGUAGCUGCCCUGUAACACUUAUAUUAGUUUCAAGACUUGUUUGCAACUUGAAACAGUUGAAGUCUGCAAGUGACUUGUUCCUGAGUGGGUGGGGUAGCUUAGUUGUGGUAUGCAAUAUGGAAAAGUGUAAGCUGUGAGACAGUGAUUAACCAGCUUUAAGAACCUAGGAUGUACUUCUUAGCAAAGUAUGGAUCAAAGGACUCAUAAGACAGGACUUCAGCAGCCUAUUGAGUAUGGACAAGUCAGCAUAAUUAAAGAAUGACAAGGCAGCAGCAGCAACUGCAGCUUCAACUUCCAGAGAAGUGAAGGCAUAAGAUACUGUGCUGAUAGUGAGCAGCUUUCCAAAGGCUAGUUAAAUCUGCUGAAAUAUCGAAGAAAGUCUAGCAAGAGUUCUUCACCUUUUGGAACCUCCUUGAGUGAUAGCCACUUGAGUUGACACAAAAUCAAUAGGUCUAGCAUUUAGACCUGAAAGGAAGGGCAAUGAGAUAGGUUGAAUGAGAAGCUGCAACUUGACAAAAUGAGAAAUGUCUUGCAUAUCUCUUCAGUUCAAAGGUUUCUGACUAGUUUCAUCAGACAAGGAGAUGAACGAUUUACUUUAAAGAAAAGUUGGACAGAUGGUAUAGCAGAAUAUCUGAAUUUCCAGGUUGACUCCUGUACUGCUAAGAUAACUUUUUCCUGAACUCAGUGGUGCAAGUCUAUCCAUCAUAGAAGAAAAGUGACCCUUCCAUAGAGGAUAAUGUCACAAGAUUUGAAAACAGAAAUUAAACCUAUAAUUAAGAUGUCAGAUAAAGCCUUAAAGGAUAAUGUAGUGAAACUGUACAGCUUGCAUUCAAACAAGUUUUAGAAAAGAACAUCCAUAAAUGUUAACUAUGUGUAUCAAAGUAUUGUCGAUAAU